Molecule: long non-coding RNA, 2167 nt
Organism: Solanum tuberosum (potato)
Lineage: Eukaryota; Viridiplantae; Streptophyta; Magnoliopsida; Solanales; Solanaceae
Exons: 3
Source: RefSeq, a predicted model, not a curated record
GCUUAUUACGGUGCUUCUCAUUAUAAAUACUGAUAGGUUGCUCCUUCAUCUUUUGUCUGCGUCUUCUAUCCAGUGCUUUUAGUUCUUCGUUUAAUCUCGCCUCUUGCUCGAUCAUUUAUUUCUGUUUUGUGCAUUUUAUACAUGUUUUCGUAUUUGAAUUUCCUUUUUUGAACUGAAUUUGGGGUUUUUGGUUCUUUGGAGGAUUUGUAUUUUUGAGGCCUUAUUUUUUUUGGGUUUUAGGGUUGAGCCGCCUUGAUUCAGCGUAUGCUACCUCUUAAUUCUACAUUGAUGAUAUGACACGAAAGAAUCUUUGUUGUGGCUGUCAAUCAGAUAAAAAAAGGUAAUGAUGUUUGGCAAAUGGCAUUGCAGAAAUAGAUACAUAAAGUCCUAAGGAUCUGAAAGAUGUUUUAUUGCUUUAAUGAUUUUAUGAACGUCGGAAUAACAAGAAUUGCUCCAUUAUGGAAUGCUUGGUGUUUGUGGGCUGUGUUAAAAGUGCUGAGUUUCAGCGAAUGGCAGGGCAGAAAUAGGUACUAAAGUGCCCAUGGAUCAAGAGGGACCUCAAAGUUGAAAGGCUUAGCCAGGCUCUGGUAACUUCUUUCCAAAAUUCAGGACCACAACUUCAAUGUUCUUGCUGAGAUAGAAUCUACAAUGCUACAUUUUCUUUUAAACCAUAUCUUUAGAAUAUUGGUUAGGAUUAUCCUCCGAAACAAUGAUACAAUCUUUAAUGAGGCAUAAUACGUAAAACAAGUAAAAUUAUCAUUAGUUAAUAUGGAUAUGACACAAAUUCUUCUCAUUUGCCUAAAUGCUGGUGGGCAGAAUAAUUUGACACCUGUGCUUUUGAGAGGUAGUUGAGGGAGUCGAGCAUUUUGGACACCACCUUGUGUGUGUAUACGAUAUAAUCUCGAGCAGCAAACUUGUACAAAGUUAGUUGAUCAUAUACAAGAAAUAAGAUUACUAUAUCUGGAUUUUGUUGACGAAUGAACCAGCAAUGUAGUUUGUGUUUUCACAUUGAAUUAGGAAAUCACUAAAGGUUGUUUUAUCGCUUUAAUAAUUUUAUUGAGUCGGAAUCACUAAAAUUGCUCCACGGUGGAUUGCUUGGCUUUUAUGAGUUGAAGAAAAAGUGCUGACGUUCAGACAAAUGGUAGACCAGAAAUAGAUUGCUAAAAUUCCCUUGGAAUCUGAGGGACCUCAAACUUGAAAGCUUAGCUGUGCUCAGGUGACUUAAGUGGAACCUACUCUUUUCACUUUUUCUCAGGACUCUACCUCCACAAAAGCAAAAAGUGCUACAUUUUUGUAUAAACUACUACUAUAGUACUAUAUGCUUUUAAAUGCUGGUUUAGAUUAACCUCAGGUCCUUUGACAGUCAACUGAUGCCUUUUAAAAUGAGGCAUCUUUGUUGAGGCACUGAAAAGUAAUUGGACAUGAUUUAAAAGGGAGUAUAAGAUAGUAGAGCACCUUGAAUAUCCUGUUGUUAAUUAAAUUAUAUCAACUAUAUCUGGAUCAGGAAUAUCUCAAACAAUGAGUUGUUUGUCCAUUACUCUGGCAGGAAUAAUAUUGGCAGUGACACAUUGAUGAGUAUUCUUUUUCUUUGCUAGUGAGUUGUGGGGUGGAUAAAGGUUCUUUGUUCAACUAAUAGCAGUGCAGAAUUGGAUACUAGAAGUACCCAAUGAUCAAAAAGGACCUAAAAGUGAAUGUCCAAGCCAUUCUUGGAUGAAAUUUCUUAGCCACAAAGUUCUUACCUCCUUACAUUUUCAUCGUAUUCUUCGAUAAGCUGGAACUUGCCGUGUUACUUUAUCAAUGACUACUUCACAUCAAAAAAAGGCAAAAAUAUUGCAUCCGUGCUUUCCUAUCCUUGGAGAAGUGGUCCUUUUAUUCUUUAUCUGUGAUGGGACAUUCAUUGUACUGAAGGAGAAUCUGGGGAAGGCUCUGGACCAAAAGCAGCUAUUGAUGAACAUUAUGUAUCAAAUUCAAAAAGAUAUGUUCCAACAAAAAGAUGACCACAGUGGAAAGCAGAAGUGAGCUUCAAUUAUAUUGCACCAGCACACAUUGUCAUAUACAACUGGGCAACCAGAGGUUGUUGGAGGAUUCAGCAACAACCAUGAAGCUGCUUCAUCUUCAUCUUCAUCUUCUUCAUCUACAGUCAUAUCAUCUGCAUUUUGAGUAAAAC